Molecule: regulatory RNA element, 100 nt
Organism: Syntrophaceticus schinkii
Lineage: Bacteria; Bacillati; Bacillota; Clostridia; Thermoanaerobacterales; Thermoanaerobacterales Family III. Incertae Sedis
Rfam family: Pyrrolysine insertion sequence mttB
Source: Rfam
UAGGCUGACAGUAAGCUUCCUGAUGCUCAGGCAGCACAUGAGAAGACUAUCACUGGGCUACUGCCAGCCUUAGCGGGAGCCAAUCUUAUAUACGGCCUGG